AGACAUUUCACUUUAUUUAAAAGAAGCCAAUAUACAGGAUAUAAAGGGCACAAUAUUUACAACAGUAUGGUAAACAGGUUAGUUUUCUGGUAGGAUCAGUAGUCUUUCCGUGAGUACAAACCCCCCCCAGUGAUGUUAGACCCAGCUGGCAGACAAAGAGCAACAGUGGGAUAGGGUAGGACUAAAAAACAGGUAGAUGGUAAAAUGUCCACAAGGGGUCUUGGCAUGGGGCUGUGCCUCAUUUCCUUGAGAGUGUGGGAGGGAGAGAGAAUGAUGAGGGAGUCACCCAAAACUAUUACAAAGGCUACCCUGAGACUGGAAAUCUCCUACUCCUGGAAAAUUCCCUCCCAGAGAGUCUGACUUUCCUCAUAUCCCCCAGCCACCUCCAGAUUCCCAACUCUAGGACAGUGCCUUUCUAGAGCCAAGCUCAGUCUCCCAAGAAGAGGACCCAGGCCUGGGGAAACCCCUGGCACUCUGGUCCAUCAUCCAGGAGCAGAGGAUUGCAGCUCCUCCCUUGACCUGGAGCAGGCACAGCCAGGAGUGGGCUCUGGGCACCUUCCUGCCUCUCCCAUCCCAGCUGCCUGACAGCCUGGGACCUGAGAAGGCCCAGGACCAAAGGAGGUCAUGUGCUCCCCAAGCUCGACAGCCCUACACACAGCCCCUCCCACAGCCCUACAGCCAACCACACUGUUGCUUCUGAACCCUCUCUCAACACAGUUGAGUCAGAAAUGGGUCUUGGCAGAGCAGAGCUGGGACGAGUGAUCAGAGGCUACCCUCUGAAACACAGAGUACUGGGAAGAGCAUGCCCCUCCCUAGUACACCCUCAACUGAAUUCUGAAUUCCUUGCAGCCCACCUGCCCCCAAAAGUGCCUCCCUACAAGACCUCCAAGGACCUGAGGGGUCACGGAAGAAGGAAAUGGGGUGAAGUGGGACCUAUCCUCUGCUGAAGCCACCCACAGGUGUGAAUGAUCAGAGUAAGGACGGGAAGGCAAGACUGGGUGAGGGGUACCAGUAUAUUAAAUCCAGCAGCAACAUGCACAAUAUCUUGUCCACAGAAAAAUGCUGGCUACCACAACUGCCUACCUGAGAUUAAAAACCCUUUCCUUUCAUAAAAAUAGAUGAGAGUCUCUUGCUUUAUAAAUAGAUUACAUUUAGCUUAAAUUACACCUUAUACGAUCCCCUACCUACCCCCUCUUCUCACACCCCAAGCCAAAGUGGGUAGAUGCUCCAUAAGUCAUCUGAGCUGGGCCCCAGAGCUGAGUCCAUGAUGGAUGGAUCCUCCAGAGCCCUCGAGACGUAUUGCCAUGAGACAGCAAAAGGUGUUUGCUUGCCAGUAAUAUUAAUCCCUGUUCAGUCUCAGAAGAGUGCGCAUGUGCGUAUGUGUGUGCAUAUGAAUAUGUAUAUUUCACAACCAAACAGGGAGCCCAAGGAUGCUAUUUCCCCUGCUGCUCCCCAAUCCUUAGUGUGUAUAAAUCCCCCAAAACUAGGAGAGAGAGAGAGAGAGAGAGAGGAGAGAGAGAGCGCACGCACAGCACAGGAGAACCCAUCUGAGAACAACUCUAAAAUACCAAUGUCAAUAUGACACUGGGCUUAAAAAUAGAAAAACCAAAUAUUUAAGUAUUUACAGCUUUACAAAGGAUGGAACCAGUUCAUCCCAGCAGGGCCUGGUGCUGCCCCAGCAAGCAGUGGGGUCUUUCUUGGCAAGCUGUGGGGUCACGGUGAAGAAACAAGCAGGACCCACUGGCAACUAACGUAAAAAUGAGUUUAGGGGCAUGGGAGGUAGGCAAGCCCAGACCCAAGAACCAGCCCUGGAGGCAGGCCCACCACGCUCUGCCCUUCCUCCCCUCAUCCGACUGACCUCCCCUGCACUUCUCAGGGGAAAACAGAUAUGGAAAGCCAGUAGGAAGGGAGUCUUAGGCCAGUGUCUCUCUCUGGCACCUGCUGUUCUCAUGUUUCCUAGAUAAAUUUGGAGCAACCUAAGGACAAAUGAUCUACGUAUACAAGGGAGAAAACAAAACACCACCGGACACCCAUCACCUUGGUAACUUUUGUUACCCCAAAUACUAAUCCCAUUGCCUUACUGUCUUAACUCUAAAGAUAUGUUUGUCACCCUCCCAUCACCCUGAGGAACCCAGAACUGGCAUCCACUCUGCCCACCCAACCCCCAAACCACCCCUGGCUGCCUCUCUCAGCCCUGGGCAGUGAGACCCACAAGGCCACAUCUUCUGCCCUUGUGGAAACGGAAUAUCUUUUCAGCAGCUGAGGUCCAAGCCCAGUUGGCUCUGAUAACCUUUGGUUAAAAUAAAAAUAAGUAACAAUAACAACAUCAAUCAUAAUAAUCAGGUAUGUUUGAACCCUGUAACCUGUAGAACAAUGGUUGGUGAGGAAGAGGGAAAGGGGCUCUCUUCCAAAACCACUGUCCCUUCAAGUACCUGCCAAAAGGGACAGUUUGAGUAAUAAGAGAUGAUGAGGAUGGCCAGGUGUAGUGGCGCAUACCUGUAAUCCCAGCACUCUGGGAGGCUGAGCCAGGAGGAUUGCAAGUUCAAGCCCAGCCUGGACAAUUUAGCAACUUAGCAAGACCCUGUCUCAAAGUAAAAUUUUAAGGAAAGGGCUAGGGAUGUAGCUGAAUACAAAGGCCCUGGGUUCAAUCCCCAGUACUGAAAAAGAAAAAAAUGAUGAUGAGGACAGAAGUGUCAAAGCCAGAGUGCUCAGGGACUGAUGGGGUAUCUUCCCAACAGAACAAAACAAAACAAGGGGAAAAACUCAUGAGAAAGGCCACCGAGUUCUGAUAAAUUACAUCACACAGUCACUAACACAUUCUCGUUCUCUCUAAAUACAUAUACAUGAAUAUUAUGUACAAUGGUUUUAAGAUGCAAAACAGGGAGAGCAGGAGAGAGAGAAGGCCCUUACAGAUGGCUGGCCCCUGCACAGGGAAGUCAGGGGACCACCAAGCCCUCCAGCCCAGCACCCGCCUGGAUCUCCACACUGGUCCCCGGACACAUUUUGCUCUUUCAACCUCCAGAGGGAGCUCUUCAGCCAACAAAACCCCAAAUGGGCCAUCACCACCCCCACCCCGCACUACAGUGGGCCCCAAAAGGGAGAGGAGAGGAGGGGAAAAAAGCAAAGCCUGCAUGGUGGCCUGGUCCCCAGCUCAGUUUUGGUGGGUGUUCUCAACAUGGGACCCUUCAACUCUUGGGGAGAUACUGGCGCAGAUUAACUCCCCAAGUGGAUCACAGAAAGAGGCUUGCAUGUGUCCCUGAGAGGAAUAAGGACAGUCCUCUCUCAAGCUCCCAUGCAAGCCGUCUCCAAGCCACCAGCGGCCACCAGCUCCCUCCCCUCCCCUUGCCAAUCUGCUCUGCUGUCAGUACCGACAGCAGGUGACCAUGGGACAGUGGAGAACCAGGAUGGCGACAGGCUGGUGCUCCCCAAGCUCCCCGGGAAAUAAGUGGUACCAGGCUUGGCCUCUUCAGACUUUCUCACAGAGAAAUUACAGCUCUAUAACCCCUUAUUGCUGGCUGGGGAGGGAGGGGAGAACAUCAAGUCAUCAGGACAAUAAAAGAACCCCACCCUCACCCCAACCCCAGAGGUUCCAAAGAAAGCAAGCAGUCAGGUGGGCUGGCCCUUGCAGGAGUGAAGCCCACACCAUCAACCUUAACCCCUUAACCAGCCCCCUCCCCAGCCAGUGCUCACCCUGGGAGGCUGCAAGAGAGUGAUCACCACCUUAACCUCCGCCUCCCAGCCCCAGGGGAAACCAGGAGUCUGGGACAGGGCCUGCCUUCCAAUGAUAUAAGGCAAGCUGCUUUUUGUUUUUUUGUUUUUGUUUUUGUUUUUGCAUAGUAGUUAAACACAGUGAGGCUCCACCUACUACUCCCCCAAGGUGCCUUGUCCCUCCACUUUGCCACUAAAUCCAAAAAACAAAAGAAAAAUUGGUCUUCCCUCCCUUCCUCCUACUUUUCUCUCUUUCCAAGAGUGAGAAAGCUCGGGAGGUCCCCACCCAGGCCUGGAGGUAAUGGCUGGCUCCCUCCUGGGGAGGGCAGAUCACCCCAAGCACAGUGUCAGGCAGCGCCAGCGCUAGCAGAAGGGAGGGCAAAGCUCAUGGCCAAUUAGGAGCAGGUGGGAGGGUAGAAAACUACUUGAUGCCAUGCCCAGGUCCCGCCCUCGCCUUGAGUUUCAUAUAAAAACACCUGCUAGGAAUAAUUCUUUGGAGCUCAAAGUGGCUCAGCUUAAGGGAGAAGGCACAGUUAACACUGCAUGGUCCAGACAGAAGUCUGCAUUUGUAACGUGGAGAACAAUAGAAAUUGACAGCACCAUUCCUUGGGUGGGUAGGCAGGUGGAUGGAGAAGGGGCACUGGUCAGUUGUAGGGUGGUGUCACGGAAAGAAGGAAGGAAGCAGCGGUCCCUCGGGGCCUCCAGAGAAGGGAGGGCAGAGGAAGUCUAUGAGCGAGGACUGGCGCCCACUUUGAGGAGCCUUCCUGGCCUGUGGAGAGAGGGGACCAGGGCCCCAUCCCCAAGACCACCAGGCACGCAGGGCCUCCAUCAUCAGCUGACCAUGGGCUCCACAUCUGCUUCGCGCUCCAACUCAUCCUGGAUCUCAUCUGUACUUCCUGAGUCACUGCUGGCCACAGAGCUGGGUGACGGUGAA
Molecule: long non-coding RNA, 4642 nt
Filed under: Heterocephalus glaber (naked mole-rat)
Lineage: Eukaryota; Metazoa; Chordata; Mammalia; Rodentia; Bathyergidae
Description: lncRNA (ENSHGLG00100035773.1)
Source: RNAcentral